Choloepus hoffmanni (Hoffmann's two-fingered sloth) is the source of this 168-nucleotide small nuclear RNA. Its record names the gene U1. It matches the Rfam family "U1 spliceosomal RNA". From Rfam's summary of the family: U1 is a small nuclear RNA (snRNA) component of the spliceosome (involved in pre-mRNA splicing). Its 5' end forms complementary base pairs with the 5' splice junction, thus defining the 5' donor site of an intron. NCBI's taxonomy places the organism in Eukaryota, Metazoa, Chordata, Mammalia, Pilosa, Megalonychidae. The record is from Ensembl.
AAACUAAGACCUGGAAAGGGGAGAUACCAUGAUCACAAAGGUGGUUUUGCCAGGGCAAGGCUGAUCUAUUGCACUCCAGGACCUGCUGACUCCUGCCAUUUCCCCACAUGGGGGAAACUCCACUGCAUAAUUUGUGUUGGUGGGGGGUUGUGUGUGUGCUUUCCCUGA